Non-coding RNA from Paramuricea clavata, 234 nucleotides. The record is from the annotation of a GenBank genome assembly. Lineage: Eukaryota; Metazoa; Cnidaria; Anthozoa; Malacalcyonacea; Plexauridae.
UUCCAAGUAAAGAUACUCCAAAGAGACCACCGUAUCUUGCUCUUCAAUGACACUGAGAAGACGAAUGCGUUGAUUUCAAGUACCCCAAUACAUGUAAUACAAUACUGUAGAAUUUGAAGUGUGGUGAAUGAUAAUACUAUACCACGCACAUUUUCAUUACCGCAUCAUCACACCAUUCAUUACAUUUGGGAGACUGUGAAAUUACAGUAAUUGUGUCACUGAUUAUAAGGUUAA